RNAcentral lists this ribosomal RNA (448 nucleotides) under Vreelandella venusta. RNAcentral's name for it is "bacterial SSU rRNA". It matches the Rfam family "Bacterial small subunit ribosomal RNA", at positions 30 to 473 of the family's 1533-position model. Lineage: Bacteria; Pseudomonadati; Pseudomonadota; Gammaproteobacteria; Oceanospirillales; Halomonadaceae. The record is from RNAcentral.
AUUGAACGCUGGCGGCAGGCCUAACACAUGCAAGUCGAGCGGUAACAGGGGUAGCUUGCUACCCGCUGACGAGCGGCGGACGGGUGAGUAAUGCAUAGGAAUCUGCCCGAUAGUGGGGGAUAACCUGGGGAAACCCAGGCUAAUACCGCAUACGUCCUACGGGAGAAAGGGGGCUYCGGCUCCCGCUAUUGGAUGAGCCUAUGUCGGAUUAGCUAGUUGGUGAGGUAAAGGCUCACCAAGGCGACGAUCCGUAGCUGGUCUGAGAGGAUGAUCAGCCACAUCGGGACUGAGACACGGCCCGAACUCCUACGGGAGGCAGCAGUGGGGAAUAUUGGACAAUGGGCGAAAGCCUGAUCCAGCCAUGCCGCGUGUGUGAAGAAGGCCCUCGGGUUGUAAAGCACUUUCAGCGAGGAAGAACGCCUAGUGGUUAAUACCCAUUAGGAAAGAC